Molecule: long non-coding RNA, 2526 nt
Organism: Amphiprion ocellaris (clown anemonefish)
Lineage: Eukaryota; Metazoa; Chordata; Actinopteri; Pomacentridae
Exons: 3
Source: RefSeq, a predicted model, not a curated record
CAGUGCUUUAAUCUGAUUAGACCUGGCUAAAAUCCCAAACCGGGGCUGAAGUGCAGUGCUUGUGGUUUCUGAACAGCUUACGCUAAGUCUGUACCAUGGAAAUAAUCUACUCUUAAAACCCAGGGAACAAAUCAACUAUGCGGCUGUAGCUCAUGUCUCGUAUGGAAUCUGCAGACCUCCGUGACCCGUCGGCCAAGAACCCGGUGACCUGCUGCGAGGAACGUCUGACCCCAGAGGUCGCGGCGUACAGGUUGCUGAAGUCACCACAUGGGUGGAGCCAAGGCGGAGUCUGGGUGGAGUCAGGGCGGAGAAUAGGCGGGGAGGUGGGUGGCGGCCUCCCCCCUCUACUCCCCCACCUCCCACCACCACCCACCACACCUUCCCCCGCCCGACGAGUUUUUCGAGUCUCCACGAGUUCUUCGAGUCUCGACAGGUUUUCCCGAGUUUCUGGAGUUUCCACCAGGUCCGAGGCAGAACAAGUUGUCAUGAAGAGGUGUUGAAGUGCCAGGAUGGACUGACUUUUUACAGCGACUAGAAGGAAGACGACUAGAAGAGCAGGUCUUUAACCACCAUCCAUGAAAUCCAUGAUGUUGACUCCAGAGAAAUGAAGGGAGGUCAAUUUUUAUCAACCUCCAUCCAGAUAUUCAACUUGAUAUCUUUACUUGGAGAUUUUUAGCACCACAAACCUUUAGUAUCACACUUUAUUAUCAUUUAUUAGGACUUUAAUGGAAUCCACCAGCAGAUUUAGUUUUUGUUGACAAACUUUAUUCUUGUCGUUGUGGGACUGCAGUAUUUAAAACUGUUCCUUCUAUUUGACCUCAUGUUUAUUAGUUUUAGUUUAGAAAGUUAUUUUAAUUGUCCAUUAGUCUCUUAAAAACUAAAUAAUAAAUUGAAUUAGUCAAGAGGUUUUAAUUUCUUACUUUGUCAUAUUUCAGAUAUGACAAAAAAAUAUAAAAAUAAAGUGUCUUGAGACAAUUUGACCUGUAAUUGGCGUUAUAUAAAUAAAAUUGAAUUAAAAUUGUAUAUAUCUUGUAAUGUUGGAGUAAUUCAGCCAUAUAUGUUGGAAAACACAUUUUCUUUGUCCAUUAAUCUGUUGUUUUCUCCAGUAAUUCAUUUCUUGUUUUGGUUUAUAAAAUAGCAAACCCAAAUAUAUUAAGUUUACUGUCAUAAAAACCAAAAAGAUUUACAUUCAUGAUGCAGGAAUCUGGCAGUUUUUCACUUUUUAUCUUAGUUUAGUUAGAAAGAUAGUUGAUAAUGUGUGAAUUGUUGCAGCUUGUGAGCUGUAGAAGGUUUUAAUCUUUGGGGCCGAGUCUCAAAAAACAUUUAGAAACCAACAUCAACAAAACACUCAACAAAGAGAAAUCCAACUUUUGUAUGACAAUGUCUAAUUAAAGGACAUUUAUUUCCAACGUAAAUGUGUGAUAUUCAUCCUCUGGAGCUUUCUCUUCACAUCGUCUUCCACCUGGACUGCUUUGGUCGGGAGCAUGUGCAACAAACAUUUGAAAAACUGCACUUUAACAUCAAUGAAUGACACUGAAGUUUAAUCUCUACAUAAUGAGACUGAGUCUGGAUGUGCUGCUCUGUCAUUAACUCCUAAGUUUAGGGAAAGUUCAAACAAAAGAGGACAGUUCAGAUAAGACUUGAAAAUGAGCUUAUUUUGAACAAACAUCUCAGACUUUCUGAGCUUCAGCACCUCUAGCAAGAUAUUUUAACAAGCAACUCAAGAGAUCCAGAAGUUGGAGAGAGUUAGCUUUAGCUGAGCCAAAGAACAUGUGGGACGCUAACCUAGCAAACAUUUCAGACUUUUCUCUGUAAAUUCUGAGAAAUAAUUUCUUAUUUAAUAACAGAGCUACACAUCUUAACUCAGUCUCAUUAAAACAGACUCUAAUUCAGUGUCAUCCAUCCAUAUUGAAGUGCAGUUACCCAAAAUGUUUGUUGCAUGAGCUCCAACAAAACCUGUCCAGGUAGAAGGCCACUUUGACAAACAGGAAGUGGAAGAUUCCAAGCAGAUUUAUAGAAGGGGGAACCGGACUGUACUAAGUGUGGUCGAGUAUAAAGGGGUGUUUUGUGGGUUUUUAAGGCUGAUAAUGAUUAUUUCUGAGACAUUUGGAGUCGAUAUUCAUUUGCAGUAAAUGAAAGUAUUUAAAAUCUUGAGUUAAACUUAGAAGAACACAAACUAACAGAAAACUUUGUUGAUACGUUUUUGUUUGGUUUACAGAUGUUAAGUUAAAGGAGUUUUAUUCGUGACAUAUAACCAAUCAAAUCACUCCAGAAGACAGAGCGACCACAGGUAGAUAAAGUUUCAGAGCCAAAGUAGCACCAUUUUUAAAUGUAUUUAUUACCGUAAAUCAGUAAAAAAUAAAAUAUUGAUAAUCAGUAAAUCAGUCAGCCCACAAUUACUACAAUUCUACAAUGUAUGUCUCUUUCCUUUGACUUGUUAUUUGUACAAUAUACAAUGUAUAUGAUGGCGUUUUUUCAUACCAAAGGCUAAACUAUGAUGUUUUCUCAGAGACAUACCAUGCUACU